RNAcentral lists this ribosomal RNA (253 nucleotides) under uncultured bacterium. RNAcentral's name for it is "partial 16S ribosomal RNA". It matches the Rfam family "Bacterial small subunit ribosomal RNA", at positions 524 to 776 of the family's 1533-position model. The record is from RNAcentral.
UACGGAGGGGGCAAGCGUUAUUCGGAAUCAUUGGGCGUAAAGGGCGCGUAGGCGGCUUGGCAAGUCAAAGGUGAAAUCCCUCGGCCUAACCGAGGAACUGCCUUUGAAACUGCUUGGCUUGAGGCCGGGAGAGGGUAGCGGAAUUCCCAGUGUAGCGGUGAAAUGCGUAGAUAUUGGGAGGAACACCAGUGGCGAAGGCGGGUCUCUGGGCCGAUACUGACGCUGAGGAGCGAAAGCGUGGGUAGCAAACAGG